AGAGUUUGAUCCUGGCUCAGGACGAACGCUGGCGGCGUGCUAAUACAUGCAAGUCGAACGAGAAUUUCUUACACCGAGUGCUUGCACUCACCGUAAGAAAUUCGAGUGGCGGACGGGUGAGUAACACGUGGGUAACCUGCCCAAAAGAAGGGGAUAACAUUUGGAAACAAAUGCUAAUACCGUAUAACCAUGAUGACCGCAUGGUCAUUAUGUAAAAGGUGGUUUUGCUAUCGCUUUUGGAUGGACCCGCGGCGUAUUAACUAGUUGGUAGGGUAACGGCCUACCAAGGUGAUGAUACGUAGCCGAGUUGAGAGACUGAUCGGCCACAAUGGGACUGAGACACGGCCCAUACUCCUACGGGAGGCAGCAGUAGGGAAUCUUCCACAAUGGGCGCAAGCCUGAUGGAGCAACGCCGCGUGAAUGAAGAAGGUCUUCGGAUCGUAAAAUUCUGUUGUUAGAGAAGAAUAUGAGUAAUAGUAACUGAUUAUUCACUGACGGUAUCUAACCAGCAAGUCACGGCUAACUACGUGCCAGCAGCCGCGGUAAUACGUAGGUGGCAAGCGCUGUCCGGAUUUAUUGGGCGUAAAGGGAACGCAGGCGGUUUUUUAAGUCUGAUGUGAAAGCCUUCGGCUUAGCCGGAGAUGUGCAUUGGAAACUGGAAGACUUGAGUGCAGAAGAGGAGAGUGGAACUCCAUGUGUAGCGGUGAAAUGCGUAGAUAUAUGGAAGAACACCAGUGGCGAAAGCGGCUCUCUGGUCUGUAACUGACGCUGAGGUUCGAAAGCAUGGGUAGCGAACAGGAUUAGAUACCCCGGUAGUCCCAGCCGUAAACGAUGGACACUAGGUGUUGGGGGUUCGAAUCCUUCAGUGCCGAAGCAAACGCAUUAAGUGUCCCGCCUGGGGAGUACGGUCGCAAGACUGAAACUCAAAGGAAUUGACGG
This 939-nucleotide ribosomal RNA is filed under the name uncultured bacterium. RNAcentral's name for it is "bacterial SSU rRNA". It matches the Rfam family "Bacterial small subunit ribosomal RNA", at positions 8 to 916 of the family's 1533-position model. The record is from RNAcentral.